GAUGAACGCUAGCGAUAGGCUUAACACAUGCAAGUCGAGGGGCAGCACAAGGUAGCUUGCUAUCUGGGUGGCGACCGGCGCACGGGUGCGUAACGCGUAUGCAACUUGCCCUAUACAGGAGGAUAACCCGUCGAAAGACGGACUAAUACUGCGUAUGCUCACAACUUGGCAUCAAGUGGUGAGGAAAGAAAUUCGGUAUAGGAUAGGCAUGCGUCCCAUUAGCUUGUUGGUGAGGUAACGGCUCACCAAGGCAACGAUGGGUAGGGGAACUGAGAGGUUUAUCCCCCACACUGGUACUGAGACACGGACCAGACUCCUACGGGAGGCAGCAGUGAGGAAUAUUGGUCAAUGGGCGCGAGCCUGAACCAGCCAAGUCGCGUGAAGGAGGACUGUCUUAUGGAUUGUAAACUUCUUUUAUACGGGAAUAACAAGAGUCACGUGUGACUCCCUGCAUGUACCGUAUGAAUAGGCAUCGGCUAACUCCGUG
Molecule: ribosomal RNA, 487 nt
Filed under: uncultured bacterium
Lineage: Bacteria
Description: partial 16S ribosomal RNA
Rfam family: Bacterial small subunit ribosomal RNA
Source: RNAcentral